UUUUGUUCGACUGGUAAGAUUAGUUUUGUAUAUUUUGCCGCGCGAUUCUAUUCGACUCGUAAGAUUAGUUUCAACACUUUGCCGCGCACUUCUAUUCGACUCAUAAGAUUAGUUUUAAACAUUUUGCCGCGCGAUUCCAUUCGACUCGUAAGAUUAGUUUUGAAUAUUUUUCCGCGCGAUUCUAUUCGACUCAUAAGAUUAGUUUCUACAAUUACAAAUUAAAAUACACUCU
This 232-nucleotide long non-coding RNA is filed under the name Medicago truncatula (barrel medic). Its description in RNAcentral is "long non-coding RNA (MTRU_LNC000568)". Lineage: Eukaryota; Viridiplantae; Streptophyta; Magnoliopsida; Fabales; Fabaceae. The record is from RNAcentral.